GUGAGGGGCUGGGCAAGAAGAAGAACGGAGGAUGGGGGCACUCGCGCCCCAAGAGUGAAGACAAACAGCUGUGGAGGCGCUGCCCGCGGCUCAGGCUUCCCAACAGGUUAGAUAGACCGGGAUCCAACCGGCAUUUCUCAGUAAAGGGUGGGGGGAAGGCAGCGAGAGGGAGAGAGCGCCUCACAAGAGGACAGAGGGAGGGUGGGAAAGAA
Non-coding RNA from Loxodonta africana (African savanna elephant), 212 nucleotides. The record is from Rfam. NCBI's taxonomy places the organism in Eukaryota, Metazoa, Chordata, Mammalia, Proboscidea, Elephantidae.